AGAGUUUGAUCAUGGCUCAGAUUGAACGCUGGCGGCAUGCCUUACACAUGCAAGUCGAACGGUAACAGGUCUUCGGAUGCUGACGAGUGGCGAACGGGUGAGUAAUACAUCGGAACGUGCCCGAUCGUGGGGGAUAACGGAGCGAAAGCUUUGCUAAUACCGCAUACGAUCUACGGAUGAUAGCAGGGGACCGCAAGGCCUUGCGCGGACGGAGCGGCCGAUGGCAGAUUAGGUAGUUGGUGGGAUAAAAGCUUACCAAGCCGACGAUCUGUAGCUGGUCUGAGAGGACGACCAGCCACACUGGGACUGAGACACGGCCCAGACUCCUACGGGAGGCAGCAGUGGGGAAUUUUGGACAAUGGGCG
RNAcentral lists this ribosomal RNA (365 nucleotides) under uncultured bacterium. Its description in RNAcentral is "bacterial SSU rRNA". It matches the Rfam family "Bacterial small subunit ribosomal RNA", at positions 8 to 377 of the family's 1533-position model. The record is from RNAcentral.